This 876-nucleotide ribosomal RNA is filed under the name uncultured Nitrososphaerota archaeon. Its description in RNAcentral is "bacterial SSU rRNA". It matches the Rfam family "Archaeal small subunit ribosomal RNA", at positions 1 to 884 of the family's 1478-position model. The record is from RNAcentral. Lineage: Archaea; Thermoproteati; Nitrososphaerota.
UUCCGGUUGAUCUUGCCGGACCUGACUGCUAUCGGAUUGAUACUAAGCCAUGCCAGUCAUUGUAGCAAUACAAGGCAGACGGCUCAGUAACGCGUAGUCAAUCUACCCUAUGGACGGGAAUAACCUCGGGAAACUGAGAAUAAUGCCCGAUAGAACAUUAUGCCUGGAAUGGUUUAUGUUUCAAAUGAUUUAUCGCCAUAGGAUGGGACUGCGGCCUAUCAGUUUGUUGGUGAGGUAAUGGCCCACCAAGACUAUUACAGGUACGGGCUCUGAGAGGAGUAGCCCGGAGAUGGGUACUGAGACACGGACCCAGGCCCUAUGGGGCGCAGCGGGCGAGAAAACUUUGCAAUGUGCGAAAGCACGACAAGGUUAAUCCGAGUGGUUUCUGCUAAAGAAACCUUUUGUCAGUCCUAGAAACACUAACGAAUAAGGGGUGGGCAAGUUCUGGUGUCAGCCGCCGCGGUAAAACCAGCACCUCAAGUGGUCAGGAUGAUUAUUGGGCCUAAAGCAUCCGUAGCUCGUUUUGUAAGUUUUCGGUUAAAUCCAUGCGCUUAACGUAUGGGCUGCCGGGAAUACUGCAUAACUAGGAAGUGGGAGAGGUAGACGGUACUCGGGAGGAAGGGGUAAAAUCCUUUGAUCUCUUGAUGACCACCUGUGGCGAAGGCGGUCUACCAGAACACGUUCGACGGUGAGGGAUGAAAGCUGGGGGAGCAAACCGGAUUAGAUACCCGGGUAGUCCCAGCUGUAAACUGUGCAAACUCAGUGAUGCAUUGGCUUAUGGCCAAUGCAGUGCUGCAGGGAAGCCGUUAAGUUUGCCGCCUGGGAAGUACGUACGCAAGUAUGAAACUUAAAGGAAUUGGCGGGGGAGCACCACAA